This 169-nucleotide ribosomal RNA is filed under the name uncultured bacterium. Its description in RNAcentral is "partial 16S ribosomal RNA". It matches the Rfam family "Bacterial small subunit ribosomal RNA", at positions 1324 to 1500 of the family's 1533-position model. The record is from RNAcentral.
AGCUGGAUUCGCUAGUAAUCGCGCAUCAGCCACGGCGCGGUGAAUACGUUCCCGGGCCUUGUACACACCGCCCGUCAAGCCAUGAAAGCCGGGGGUACCUGAAGUGCGUAACCGCAAGGAGCGCCCUAGGGUAAAACUGGUGAUUGGGGCUAAGUCGUAACAAGGUAGC